UACAGAGGUCCCGAGCGUUGUUCGGAUUCAUUGGGCGUAAAGCGUGCGCAGGCGGUUCGUUAUGUCCGAUGUGAAAGCCCCGAGCUCAACUUGGGAAUGGCAUUGGAAACUGGCGGGCUGGAGUGUGGCAGAGGGGGGUGGAAUUCCACGUGUAGCAGUGAAAUGCGUAGAGAUGUGGAGGAACACCGAUGGCGAAGGCAGCCCCCUGGGCCAACACUGACGCUCAGGCACGAAAGCGUGGGGAGCAAACAGG
Molecule: ribosomal RNA, 253 nt
Filed under: uncultured bacterium
Lineage: Bacteria
Description: partial 16S ribosomal RNA
Rfam family: Bacterial small subunit ribosomal RNA
Source: RNAcentral